This is a long non-coding RNA of Vigna angularis (adzuki bean), 274 nucleotides long. RefSeq lists it as uncharacterized. Lineage: Eukaryota; Viridiplantae; Streptophyta; Magnoliopsida; Fabales; Fabaceae. The record is from RefSeq and is a predicted model, not a curated record. The transcript is spliced from 3 exons.
UUUUCGGAAGAGGGCUGGAGGCACAGUGUCCGGUUUGAUAAGGGAAGCUUUUUCACUGUACCUGAUGUUGUCAUUAUAGCGCGAGAGGAAUCAUUCUAUUUUCCUCUCUGCCAGGAAGAAUUUCUUCAUACGAAAUUGCCUGCUAAUUAUCUGUAUGAAGUGAUGUAACGAGACUUUGGUUGAAUGAGAUGACACCAAGGAUUUUAGCAGUCUUUAAGCUGCCCCCAUUGUAUAAAAGUAUACACUUAGAUUAUUGUAGUUGAUUGAUUCAUCU